RNAcentral lists this ribosomal RNA (426 nucleotides) under uncultured Chlamydiae bacterium. RNAcentral describes it as "bacterial SSU rRNA". It matches the Rfam family "Bacterial small subunit ribosomal RNA", at positions 958 to 1385 of the family's 1533-position model. Lineage: Bacteria; Pseudomonadati; Chlamydiota; Chlamydiia. The record is from RNAcentral.
AACGCGAAGAACCUUACCCAGGCUCGAAAUGUAGAGGACGAUAUCAGAGAUGAUAUUUUCCGCAAGGACUUUUAUAUAGGUGCUGCAUGGCUGUCGUCAGCUCGUGCCGUGAGGUGUUGGGUUAAGUCCCGCAACGAGCGCAACCCUUAUCAUUAGUUGCCAACACGCGAGGUGGGGACUCUAAUGAGACUGCCUGGGUUAACCAGGAGGAAGGUGAGGAUGAUGUCAAGUCCGCAUGGCCUUUAUGUCUGGGGCUACACACGUGCUACAAUGGUCGGUACAGAAGGCAGCAAGACCGCAAGGUGGAGCAAAUCCGUAAAGCCGAUCACAGUUCAGAUUGUAGUCUGCAACUCGACUACAUGAAGUUGGAAUUGCUAGUAAUGACGUGUCAGCAACAACGUCGUGAAUACGUUCCCGGGCCUUGUA